AGCUUGCUAGAUUGAUGGCGAGUGGCGAACGGGUGAGUAAUACAUCGGAACGUGCCCUGUAGUGGGGGAUAACUAGUCGAAAGAUUAGCUAAUACCGCAUACGACCUGAGGGUGAAAGUGGGGGACCGCAAGGCCUCAUGCUAUAGGAGCGGCCGAUGUCUGAUUAGCUAGUUGGUGAGGUAAAGGCUCACCAAGGCGACGAUCAGUAGCUGGUCUGAGAGGACGAUCAGCCACACUGGGACUGAGACACGGCCCAGACUCCUACGGGAGGCAGCAGUGGGGAAUUUUGGACAAUGGGCGAAAGCCUGAUCCAGCAAUGCCGCGUGUGUGAAGAAGGCCUUCGGGUUGUAAAGCACUUUUGUCCGGAAAGAAAUGGCUCUGGUUAAUACCUGGGGUCGAUGACGGUACCGGAAGAAUAAGGACCGGCUAACUACGUGCCAGCAGCCGCGGUAAUACGUAGGGUCCAAGCGUUAAUCGGAAUUACUGAGCGUAAAGCGUGCGCAGGCGGUUGUGCAAGACCGAUGUGAAAUCCCCGAGCUUAACUUGGGAAUUGCAUUGGUGACUGCACGGCUAGAGUGUG
RNAcentral lists this ribosomal RNA (580 nucleotides) under uncultured bacterium. RNAcentral describes it as "bacterial SSU rRNA". It matches the Rfam family "Bacterial small subunit ribosomal RNA", at positions 77 to 650 of the family's 1533-position model. The record is from RNAcentral.